UGGGGAAUAUUGCGCAAUGGGGGGAACCCUGACGCAGCCAUGCCGCGUGAAUGAAGAAGGCCUUCGGGUUGUAAAGUUCUUUCGGUAUUGAAGAAGGUUGAUGUGUUAAUAGCACAUCAAAUUGACGUUAAAUACAGAAGAAGCANNGGCAAAACNCGGGCCAGCAGCCGCGGUAAUACGGAGGGUGCGAGCGUUAAUCGGAAUAACUGGGCGUAAAGGGCACGCAGGCGGUUAUUUAAGUGAGGUGUGAAAGCCCCGGGCUUAACCUGGGAAUUGCAUUUCAGACUGGGUAACUAGAGUACUUUAGGGAGGGGUAGAAUUCCACGUGUAGCGGUGAAAUGCGUAGAGAUGUGGAGGAAUACCGAAGGCGAAGGCAGCCCCUUGGGAAUGUACUGACGCUCAUGUGCGAAAGCGUGGGGAGCAAACAGGAUUAGAUACCCUGGUAGUCCACGCUGUAAACGCUGUCGAUUUGGGGGUUGGGGUUUAACUCUGGCGCCCGUAGCUAACGUGAUAAAUCGACCGCCUGGGGAGUACGGCCGCAAGGUUA
Molecule: ribosomal RNA, 547 nt
Filed under: uncultured bacterium
Lineage: Bacteria
Description: bacterial SSU rRNA
Rfam family: Bacterial small subunit ribosomal RNA
Source: RNAcentral